This 486-nucleotide ribosomal RNA is filed under the name uncultured bacterium. RNAcentral's name for it is "partial 16S ribosomal RNA". It matches the Rfam family "Bacterial small subunit ribosomal RNA", at positions 28 to 523 of the family's 1533-position model. The record is from RNAcentral.
GACGAACGCUGGCGGCGUGCUUAACACAUGCAAGUCGAACGCUGAAGCACCAGCUUGCUGGUGUGGAUGAGUGGCGAACGGGUGAGUAAUACGUGAGUAACCUGCCCUUGACUCUGGGAUAAGCCCGGGAAACUGGGUCUAAUACUGGAUGCUACAUGUCACCGCAUGGUGGUGUGUGGAAAGGGUUUACUGGUCUUGGAUGGGCUCACGGCCUAUCAGCUUGUUGGGGGGGUAAUGGCUCACCAAGGCGACGACGGGUAGCCGGCCUGAGAGGGGGACCGGCAAACCUGGGACUGAGACACGGACCAGACUCCUACGGGAGGCAGCAGUGGGGAAUAUUGCAUAAUGGGCGAAAGCCUGAUGCAGCGACGCCGCGUGAGGGAUGACGGCCUUCGGGUUGUAAACCUCUUUCAGCAGGGAAGAAGCCACAAGUGACGGUACCUGCAGAAGAAGCGCCGGCUAACUACGUGCCAGCCGCCGCGGUAA